AAAAAGUGGUAUUUUUAUAUGUUUCAUUUAUAAUGAAACAAUUAGAAUCAAAGGUGAUACUAUAAAACAAGUAAAGAUAUAGGUACAUUUAGAAUUAGGGGGAAAAGCUCCAGUUUUCCCACUGCAUUCCAGAGGUAAUGGAAACUUGAUUUCCCGUUUUAUCGCUGAUAAAGACUUUCUGAAUAGAAUUAUGUGAGCAACAUAAUCUCUUAACAUUUCAUUGGCAAGAAAAGCAGUGAGGAUUAAUCAGCUGCUAUUUGGUAGGGCUAGGAGGCUGAAAGAGCAGGGCCACAUUUGUGUUUGGAUAAAACCUUAAUAUGUCCUAAUUUGUUUAUGACAGCAACAGGCCUAAAGAUGUCUUUUGAAUUUUGUUUACAGAAAGUAUAUUCUGAGCUCAGCCUGGGAGACUGCAAAAUAAUCAGACGUUUAUGAAAAGUUUUUGAGAACCAGAGCUGAAUUCUGGUCAGUUCUCCCCUGUGGACCAUGAAGCCAUUGUGCCAAGGUGGAUGACCUCAGCAAAUAUCUGUAUCUCAGCAUCAGUUCUGCACUAGACUUCUGCAUCAAUGUGCCCUUGAAGCACAAAGCCUUCAUGUUUCAGUUCUGUUUUCCAAGCACCAGAACAAUCUUCUAAUUGAGUAUAGCCAUCAACUGGUGAAUAGACAUCCAUUUGCCAGUGGAACACACCAGCUGGACCUCACUAUAGAGAGCAAACAGGUAAUCUGUGUAUUGCAAUGACAGGGCUGAGAGGAAGAGGAAGAUUGGAGGAAGAUGGUUGCUUUUAUGACAGGUGAGAAAACCAGCCUGGCUUAAGGCAAUCUUUUGCUUUGCUUCUUUAUGUGAUCAAAAUAAGAUUUAAAAAAUGGAAACAGCUAGUGCCUGUUUUGUAUUAGUAUGACAGGUUUAAGAUGUAAGGAGUACAAGACUUUGGCUAAAAACUGACUAGCUGAUUAAAUUUGAUAGCCUUGUAAUAGAGUUUUAUAAGACUUUGCAGACGUGUAUGGUAUAGAAAUGUGACUGAAUGCUGAAUAGGCUUUUUGUCCUCACCUUUUUUUUUUAAUACCAGUACUCCAAACCAGGCUCUGAAGUAUAUUCCUUAACUAUUUAAUUUAUGCAGAGGGAAAAGCCCUUGAGAAAU
This 1135-nucleotide long non-coding RNA is filed under the name Cyanistes caeruleus (blue tit). RNAcentral's name for it is "lncRNA (ENSCCEG00000007870.1)". Lineage: Eukaryota; Metazoa; Chordata; Aves; Passeriformes; Paridae. The record is from RNAcentral.